AGAGACAUGGAGGUGUCCUCUGUGCUUCUCUGUUCAGGGUGUAGCCCUUGGCAGGGGUUCCUGCUCACAGUUCUUUUCACGUUUUCCCUUUUCUUUUUCUCUCCAAUUUGUUUCUAAUCUAUUUUCAGGAACUGAACCUUCCAAAAAGAUGAUUCCAGUCCCUGUCCUCACAAAGCCCUUUUCUUGUGGACUGGAAGUCAGAGUAUCCAGAGAAAGGCAAUGGUUUAAUGGAACCUCAAACAGAACAGAAAACAAUUCUGAGAGUGAGCAUUGCAUGAGGAAGAGGAGGAACGGGAAGAGGAGGAGGAAGAGGAGGAGGAAGAGGAGGAGGAAGAGGAAUGGGAAGAGGA
This 350-nucleotide long non-coding RNA is filed under the name Rattus norvegicus (Norway rat). RNAcentral describes it as "long non-coding RNA NONRATT002343". The record is from RNAcentral. Lineage: Eukaryota; Metazoa; Chordata; Mammalia; Rodentia; Muridae.